Lonchura striata (white-rumped munia) is the source of this 362-nucleotide long non-coding RNA. RefSeq lists it as uncharacterized. The record is from RefSeq and is a predicted model, not a curated record. Lineage: Eukaryota; Metazoa; Chordata; Aves; Passeriformes; Estrildidae.
CUCGGGGUGGGGGAGAGAGGGAGGGGAGCCAGCGGCAGGCAGCAAAACACGCCGGGAUCUUUGUGCUCGGCAAGGCCGAGCCGGAGCCCCGGAGCGGAGGUUUCAUUAAUUAAUUAACCGCGGUAACGAUGUGCGGUAAUCACCUACAACGCGGGCAGGCACCGCUCACCACCUUCCUGCAUUAUUUACUGCUCGGAUUUGGGAUGAAAAUGAAACCCUGAGGGAAAGAAUCCUGGAAAAUUCUGAGCUGGGAAAGAGCCACGAGGAUCCUGAGCUUCAACAAGAAGCUGAGGUGGGACAGGAGCUUUAUGAGAAAUAUGGGAAAUUUUGGUAAUUAAAGCUCUGUGAGAUGAUCCCCCCAA